AGGCCCCUGGGUGGGAGCAGGCUGAUCCCCCUGGGUGCCUGGUACUGACAAAUGCUGGGCUGUAGGGGUGCAGAGGGCCUGGCUGGAGGAGCAUUCAGGAGGCAGAAUCUCCCCGACCUGGUGCUGCAUAGGGAGGAGGGGCCGGGGCUAUUUGGAGAUGCUGUCAACAGGGACGAGGGCUGGCGGCAGAAAAUGCGGAGUCUGCAUGGAAUACUGAGGUCCCACGUGAACCACCUUCCUGAGCCUCCCCCGUCUCCUGCUCGGACCUCUCCCAGUGCCUUCAUUGGCUUCUCCCUCCCUGAUCCCGUCUUCGGGGGUCUUGGGAUCCUCUCUGUGGAGCUGUCCCCCUUCCCGGGUAAACCGACACCCUCACAGUGAGGAAGCCACUUCUGUGCUGACCACUUCUGCCAUGGUCAGCUUCAUGUGUCAACUCGGCCAGGCUGCAGUCCCCAGGCAAUCAACAAACGCUGUCUCAAUGUUGCUCUGAGGUCCUUUCUGGAUGUGAAAAAGGUGCUGUCGUCCAUGCGUCUCAGGACCAUCAGUCUCUUCACUGCACCGCCCCCUGGUGGUGGGGUACUCUCCCUGCGGGCACACACCAAGGAGCGCUAAAUCCUCCACCGCCCCAGCCUGGACGCCCAGCCCAGGACAGGCGGCCAGAGGAUGCCCUCAGCAAAGAGCACCCCAGCACCUGCCUUCAGCCAGCGCCAAGGGAGAGGAAGGAGGGGACGACUCCGUACGCCGUCUCUAACCAUCCCCCGCCCCUUCCUGGUAUUUGAGGUAUUUGAGGCUGUAUGGUUUGUAGUCAUGAUCUAAUUAAGCAUGUGAGAGUGGAGGGGGGGCGCAGCCAGUCAGGGACUCCUUAGUCUCUGUGUCCUGAUAGGUGUCUGCCUAACUCCCAUUUCCCUUGCUUCCUGCUUUUGCACAGCAUCCGAGUUUCCGUUCAGAGGCCACCAUCCCUCCGCCAUGUGGCCCCAGUAAGAAGUCCCCCACGGACUUCCCAGUAAGCUGGCCCCAGCUCCGAAGGUUCUGACGGGUCUAAGGGUGACCCCAUCCCCCUGGAGACAAAGAUCAGCUACACCAGACAGCAGCCAGCAUUCCCUGGACACAGGACUUUCUCCAGGAACGGCAUACGACCCAGUUCAGAGCAAUGGGAUGUGAGUGGUGGCUUGCUGAGGAAUGCUGGAGAGGAUGCUCCUCCCGUUUAGGAGAGAAGAUCCCCUGUCUCCUGGUCUGGAUGUACACCACUGACAGCUGUUGCAAUUUUGUUUCCACACUGACAACCUGAGAAGGAAGCCAGCACCGAGAGGAAAUCGUGGAGAAGUGGGGCCAGAGCCCCUGGAUCGAGCCAAACCUGAGGCCCAUCUACCUCUGGACUUCCAGGUCCAUGAGCCAAAGAAGCCCUUAUUUGAGCCACUUGGACUUGAGUUUUUUGUUGUUUAUGACACCCUAAAACCCCCAAGCCGUCAGUGUUGGGAGGCCUCCUGAGGAAGAGGUCUCAGACCAAGGGUCCCAUUUUGCAUCAAGGAAUGUGUGACAUUGACCCCCAGACCAUGGGUUCUGCUUGUCCUGCCACAAACCACAUCUCUGGGAAGCUGCCAGCUGACAGAAUGCCGCCCCCCCCCCCCCCCCCAAGCCUCAGCACAGGGACUGUCCACUGCGGGUCUGGGCUGUUUUCCAGGAUGCAGCAUGUGCACUGAACCAACGGGCAGUGCGCCGAGUCCAGAACAAGGGGUCAAAGCGCCAUAGAUCUCCGGGGGAGCAAGCCCCAGGAGUCUGCAGGGGUGGCCCACUCGAUAAUGCCACCGUCGUCG
Molecule: long non-coding RNA, 1811 nt
Filed under: Equus caballus (horse)
Lineage: Eukaryota; Metazoa; Chordata; Mammalia; Perissodactyla; Equidae
Description: lncRNA (ENSECAG00000039302.3)
Source: RNAcentral